Molecule: non-coding RNA, 778 nt
Organism: Danio rerio (zebrafish)
Lineage: Eukaryota; Metazoa; Chordata; Actinopteri; Cypriniformes; Danionidae
Source: RefSeq, a predicted model, not a curated record
AAAGAAAAUGUGUCUGUUUUCCCACUUCCUCUUUUUUUCUAACCACCCCGGUGACGUCAGAAGAGUGAGUUAUCUGACAGACGCGCGCUGUUUACAGUGGGGCAGAGGAGCUAAUAGCAGAACUGGUUGACAAGUCCACAAGUUUCCUCUUGCUAUUUUGGUUCGUGAAAUGGGAUGAAUCCGAUAAGAGUGAUAGCUGACGCGAACGGCGAGAAACACUCCUGGAUCAGUCGGAGAUGCAGCUCGAUGGCUGUGCACGUGUGUUUAUUAGACUUUGGGAGACAGAGAUGAUGACCCGGAGCUGAAGGCUUUCUCUCCACUGGCCUCUCGCUCAACUGUGCUUCACUUUGACUCACAGAGUAACCUCAACUAAGAAUAUAUGCAUCAGCCCUCACUGCGUGUCUGACGGUGGACUACUGGAGUUCAUCACAAGCUCGACGAGAAUGCAGAAGUGGCCACUACAUUUGCUCUUCUUUCUAGAUCCUUCUAGCGGGUUUCCAACGAUGAGGCUGUCGGCAUCUUUUUACACAGCAUUCACAAUUUAACACACAUUAAAGACAUAAUGGUGUGGCACCCACAUAAACGUUGGCCAACUUACUGAAAAAUAAUUUUAGGUUUACUUUUAAAUGGGUCAGAUGAUAUAUUUUCCUUUCAGUAUACUCACACUCACACAGAUACUUAUACAUAUAUAAAGAGUAAAAAUGCUGGGUAUUAACACUGCUUAUGAUUUUGUGCUAUAUAAAUAAAACUUGAACUUGAGUUGCAUUUAGAAUUUGAA